Molecule: ribosomal RNA, 301 nt
Filed under: uncultured bacterium
Lineage: Bacteria
Description: partial 16S ribosomal RNA
Rfam family: Bacterial small subunit ribosomal RNA
Source: RNAcentral
CAGCAGCCGCGUAAUACAGAGGGUGCAAGCGUUAAUCGGAAUUACUGGGCGUAAAGCGCGCGUAGGUGGUUUGUUAAGUUGGAUGUGAAAUCCCCGGGCUCAACCUGGGAACUGCAUCCAAAACUGGCAAGCUAGAGUAUGGUAGAGGGUGGUGGAAUUUCCUGUGUAGCGGUGAAAUGCGUAGAUAUAGGAAGGAACACCAGUGGCGAAGGCGACCACCUGGACUGAUACUGACACUGAGGUGCGAAAGCGUGGGGAGCAAACAGGAUUAGAGACCCCGGUAGUCCCUGUCUCUUAUACA